Molecule: long non-coding RNA, 219 nt
Filed under: Zostera marina
Lineage: Eukaryota; Viridiplantae; Streptophyta; Magnoliopsida; Alismatales; Zosteraceae
Description: long non-coding RNA (ZMAR_LNC002834)
Source: RNAcentral
GGCAAUUGCCCCCCCUAAAAUUUGGAAAAUAUCCGAGGACCUAUAUGUAAUUAAAUUUUUUAUAGGGGGUUAAUUGUAAUUUUCACAAUAUAUUAAUAUUUUUUAAGGGUUAAUAUAUAAAUUUCACAAUAUUUAUAUACUAUAUAAAUUUUACAAUAUAUGUAAUUUUAAGUUUAAUUACAUAUAUAUCCCUAAAAACUUAAAUAUCCCUAAAUUUCU